AGAGACACAUUCAGCUCCUAAAUACAAUUUUCAAAAUACUGGACUAUACCUAUGCUUUUGAUGUAUCACGAGACCAUCGGUUUUAGAAUUACAGGCACGUUUUCUUUUAAAUAUCAUUUUUAUCUGUUUCGUCAGGAAUUCAGAACACAGGAGCUGGAGAACUAUUCUUCUUCACCAUGCGGUCCAGCUGCUACCUACUAUUCGGUCUACUGCUCGUGUCCCAUGGCUCCUCAGCAGUCAUCACAAGGCUGACAGACCGCCAAGAAGGAUCACGGCUGCAUUAUGUACUCUGAACGACUAUGGUGGAGAAGAUGACAUAGAUGCUAUUCUCCCAUUCUGUACAAACGUUUUUUCAAACACACCGAAAACUGGCACAUCAACUCCCCGGGAACCUCCACCCGCUUCCUCCAUAAUCCAGACCCAAACAAGCAAUGCACAAUUUAUGCGCAAGUGCAAUGCACAGAAUCACCCCAGACCGAAAAGUGUUACUAGGCAGGAAACUUACUGCUUCAAGAAACUGCGCUACAUGGACACGACUCCAACAAGACAUGCCCGGCAGAAUCUGGAAUGCUUGGUGAAAAAAUCUUGAGCACCUGGUUUCCAUGAUUCGUCAGAACAGUCCUCGUCAAAAAAGCUGAGACUCCUACCUGGCGUAUAAUGGCACAGAAGACCCUACACACCUAGACCACGCGGAUGCGCCGGACAUUCACAAUAAAACACCAAAACCGGAGGAUUUCACCGUUUUAAAUGACAUUUCCGAGGUAGACGACCUGCUAUUAUGUGAAGCGGCCAAGCUUCUUGAUUCAGCCAAUUCUUUGGUGGAAACACCUGAACCUAAAAUAGAACAAGCUAGGUUUUUCACAGCCUUUUCCAGGGCUCUAAAAUACCGAAAGGUUUUGCUCCACAAACGAAUAGUGGCUUUACUCGAUCGACAAUACAGUCUAUCCUUCUGGCAUAGAACAAUGCCACAUUUGUUAAAACCUCUGACUCCCCAUCCCGCAUGAGGGAGCAUAAUCAUCGCCUGACACUAAUUAGCAUAACGGAACAUUCGGAAUAUAACAGAAUAUUCCUAUUCAUGAA
Oncorhynchus gorbuscha (pink salmon) is the source of this 1080-nucleotide long non-coding RNA. RefSeq lists it as uncharacterized. NCBI's taxonomy places the organism in Eukaryota, Metazoa, Chordata, Actinopteri, Salmoniformes, Salmonidae. The transcript has 5 exons. The record is from RefSeq and is a predicted model, not a curated record.